Molecule: ribosomal RNA, 1463 nt
Filed under: uncultured Bordetella sp.
Lineage: Bacteria; Pseudomonadati; Pseudomonadota; Betaproteobacteria; Burkholderiales; Alcaligenaceae
Description: partial 16S-23S ribosomal RNA intergenic spacer
Rfam family: Bacterial small subunit ribosomal RNA
Source: RNAcentral
UCGAUCAUGGCUCAGAUUGAACGCUGGCGGGAUGCUUAUAUGUGGGUCGAACGCAGCACGGACUUCAUUCAGGCGAGUGGCGAACGGGUGAGUAAUGUGUAUCGAACGUGCCUAGCAGGGGGAGCAUCACAAAGAAAGGUAGCUAAUACUGCAUAUUGCCCUUCGGGGGAAAGCGGGGACCUUCGGGCCCCUCGCACCACAGAGCGGCCGAUAUCGGAUUAGCGAAGUUGGUGGGUAACGGCUCACCAAGGCGACGAUCCGUAGCUGGUUUGAGUGACGACCAGCCACACUGGGACUGAGACACGGCCCAGACUCCGCAUGGAGGCAGCAGUGGGGAAUUUUGGACAAUGGGGGGAAACCCUGAUCCAGCCAUCCUGGUCAAAAAGCGAGCGAAGGCCUUCGGGUUGUAAAGCACUUUUGGCAGGAGUAAAGAAACGGCACGGAUAAUACCCUGUGCAACUGACGGUACUUGCAGAAUAAGCACUGGCUAACUACGUGCCAGCAGCCGCGCGGUAACAUGUAGGGUGCAAGCGUUAAUCGGAAUUACUGGGCGUAAAGCGUGCGCAGGCGGUUCGGAAAGAAAGAUGUGAAAUCCCAGAGCUUAACUUUGAACUGCAUUUUUAACCACGAGCUAGAGGUGUCAGAGGGAGUGUGAAUUCGCGUAGCAGUGAAAUGCGUAGAUAUGCGGAGGAACACUGAUGGCGAAGGCAGCCUCCUGGGAUAACACUGACGCUCAUGCACGAAAGCGGGAGCAAACAGGAUUAGAUAAUUCUAUAGUCCACGCCCUAAACGAUGUCAACUAGCUGUUGGGCCUUCGCCUUGGUAGCGCAAAGAACGGUGUGAAGUUGACCGCCUGGGGAGUACGGUCGCAAGAUUAAAACUCGACGGGGACCCAGCAGCGCGGGGGAUGAUGUGGAUUAAUUCGAUGCAACGCGAAAACCUUACCUACCCUUGACAUGUCUGGAAUCCUGAAGAGAUUUGGGAGGCUGCAAGAGGUCCGGAAUGACAGGUGCUGCACACAAGCUGUCGUCACCGUAAGUCGUAGAUGUUGGGUUAAGUCCCGCAACGAGCGCAACCUCUGUCAUUAGUUACAUGAAAGGGCACUUUAAUGACUGCCGGUGACAAACCGGAGGAAGGUGGGGACAUCGGCCAAGUCCUCAUGGCCCUUGCGGGUAGGGCUUCAAGACGUCAUACAAUGGUCGGGACAGAGGGUCGCCAACCCGCGAGGGGAGCCAAUCCCAGAAACUGAUCGUAGUCCGGAUCGCAGUCUGCAACUCGACUGCGUGAAGUCGGAAUCGCUAGUAAUCGCGGAUCAGCAUGUCGCGGUGAAUACGUUCCCGGGUCUUGUACACACCGCCCGUCACACCACAGGAGUGGGUUUUACCAGAAGGAAGGGCCUAACUGUAAGGAGGGCGAUUACCACGGUAGGAUUCAUGACUGGGGUGAAGUCGUAACGAAGGUAG